This 262-nucleotide ribosomal RNA is filed under the name uncultured bacterium. RNAcentral describes it as "partial 16S ribosomal RNA". It matches the Rfam family "Bacterial small subunit ribosomal RNA", at positions 90 to 354 of the family's 1533-position model. The record is from RNAcentral.
UUCGAGUGGCGGACGGGUGAGUAACGCGUGGGCAACCUGGCCUGUACAGGGGGAUAACACUUAGAAAUAGGUGCUAAUACCGCAUAACGGGAGAAGCCGCAUGGCUUUUCCUGAAAACUCCGGUGGUACAGGAUGGGCCCGCGUCUGAUUAGCCAGUUGGCAGGGUAACGGCCUACCAAAGCGACGAUCAGUAGCCGGCCUGAGAGGGCGGACGGCCACACUGGGACUGAGACACGGCCCAGACUCCUACGGGAGGCAGCAG